Long non-coding RNA from Vespa crabro (European hornet), 1002 nucleotides. RefSeq lists it as uncharacterized. The transcript has 2 exons. The record is from RefSeq and is a predicted model, not a curated record. NCBI's taxonomy places the organism in Eukaryota, Metazoa, Arthropoda, Insecta, Hymenoptera, Vespidae.
UCGGAUAUUGGUAAUGCAUAGUCGAAAAUAACUUCAAUUCAAUACAGUGUGUAAAAGAAUCUAUAAGAGGUAGCUCACAUAUUUUCAAUUGACUAAACAAUUGUAUAUAAUUUAAUUUUGAUCCAUAAACUUAAAAGAAAAAUUUAUCAAAUCAAGAGCACUAUAUAAUCUAUGUAAAGGGAUGUUAUUGUGAAAAAAGAAAAGUAGAUGCAAUUCAUAUAUUAGAAGAAAAGAUCGGAAAACAGAAUAAAAUUCAAGAAAAAAGAAAUGAUAUUUUAAAAUGUUUAAUUUCUUUAAUAGAAAAUAAUGUAGAAUAUAUGGAUAAAUAAAUAAAAAAUAUUUUGAUUUAUUUAGUUUAAAUUAAAUUUGAUUCAGAUCAACGUCUUCAUCUAACAUGAUAAAUAACAUUAGAUUAAUAUUUUUUUUUAAUAACUCAAUAGUAAUAUAUAACUGAUAAUAUAUAACUUGGGGAUAUUUUUGGUUAUUUAUUGAAUAAAUUACUUUAUAUCCUUAUCCAAAACAUAUAGUUUAUACAGUUUGAUCACAAUAUAAAAUAUGCUUACACUUGCUUUAAACAUAUAAUUGAAAAAAUACAUCCAGCAGAAAUCUUAUGCUAUCGGCAGUGCUUAUUAAGCUGCUUAUUCUGCUAUAUACAACUAUCAGCAUGGAAUACUAUAAUGAUGUUAUUUAUGAUACAAGUUCUAAAUAAACUUCUGUAAUAAACGUAUUGAUUGGCGAAAAGAAUACAUAUGUCGAUAUUGCAGUUUUCUAAUAUAGUGACGACUGUUCUUACAGAUUUAAUAUAACCUUAAUAUAUACGUAUACAUUAGUAGAUACAUAAUAUUGCACAUAUUAUAUACCAUGUAAAGAUAUAUCCAUAUAUUAUUGCGUUGCCUGAUUUUCCAUGUACGAGUCUUUUAUAUUAGAGUUUGGGAGUAUUGACAAAUUCUGAUAUUAUAUAAAUUCUAAAUAGAUCAACCAGAAUAAAUAUCUUGAAAGAAA